AGAAGGAGCUUGCUUCUUCGAUCGAGUGGCGAACGGGUGAGUAACGCGUGAGGAACCUGCCUCAAAGAGGGGGACAACAGUUAGAAAUGACUGCUAAUACCGCAUAAGCGCACAGCUUCGCAUGAAGCAGUGUGAAAAACUCCGGUGGUACAGGAUGGACCCGCGUCUGAUUAGAUAGUUGGUGAGGUAACGGCCCACCAAGUCAACGAUCAGUAGCCGGCCUGAGAGGGCGAACGGCCACAUUGGGACUGAGACACGGCCCAAACUCC
This 269-nucleotide ribosomal RNA is filed under the name uncultured Eubacteriales bacterium. RNAcentral's name for it is "uncultured Clostridiales bacterium partial 16S ribosomal RNA". It matches the Rfam family "Bacterial small subunit ribosomal RNA", at positions 71 to 339 of the family's 1533-position model. The record is from RNAcentral. Lineage: Bacteria; Bacillati; Bacillota; Clostridia; Eubacteriales.